This 548-nucleotide ribosomal RNA is filed under the name Scinax pedromedinae (Henle's snouted treefrog). RNAcentral describes it as "partial 12S ribosomal RNA". The record is from RNAcentral. Lineage: Eukaryota; Metazoa; Chordata; Amphibia; Anura; Hylidae.
CAAAGGUUUGGUCCUGACCUUGAACUCAGUUUUUACUUAACUUACACAUGCAAGUCUCCGCACCCCUGUGAAAACGCCCUCUAACCCCUCUCCCGGGACGAGGAGCUGGUAUCAGGCUCAAUUACUGGCCCAAGACACCUAGCUUAGCCACACCCUCAAGGGAGUUCAGCAGUGAUCAACAUUGAAUAUAAGCGAAAGCUUGAUUCAGUUAAAGUAAACAGGGCCGGCAAACCUGUGUGCCAGCCGCCGCGGUUAAACCUGUGGACCCAAACUGACUCUCCCCCGGCGUAAAGCGUGGUUAAAGUCAACAUAAACUGUACUUAAACUAACACUACCUCUGUGGUACGCUUGUGAUUAGGAAACUCAAAAACGAAAGUUAGUACAGCAACACCCACUUGACCCCACGACAGCUGAAAAACAAACUGGAAUUAGGUACUUCACUAUGUUCAGCCGUAAACCUUAAUCUACACCCAAAUCGCCAGGAAACUACGAGCAAUGCUUAAAAUCCAAAGGACUUGACGGUUCCCCAUAUCUUCCUAGAGGAGCCU